GAAGGAGGAGACGCCUUGGUGGUGCUGGAGGAAGGCAGUGGCGGCAGCAGGACAAGGCGUGUUGGUGGCGGAGAGGUGACAGAGUACUUGCAGGACCAGCAGGCAGGGGCGGAAGCCGUGCUAGAAGUUACCAGCAGUCAGAGUCCUAGCAAACAGAGCCUUGCCUGCAGGGCAGGCGGGAAGGGGUCCUGUAGCACCCCCACCGGGGUGGGGGUCUGUGUGCAGGGGGCGGGGGAGGGGAGGCCUCCUUCCACAUGGGGGAGGGGCCAGCAAGGAGAGAGGAAGGGGUGCAGAGCUGGGGAGGGGGCUGCCUCUCUGGGCUGUGUGCGCCCGUCUCCGUGGGGUCUCAGCUCCCGGCCACAGGCCCUCCCCUUGCCCUUCAGCUCCGGGACACUGAGGCCCAGUGCCUGCCUUGGGGACCGUCGCUCGCUGGGGCAGCAGAGCAGGCAGUGGGGGCCGCGCUGCUGCUUCCUGUCCGGCCCAGCUUUGGGAUUUGGCUGCCAGCUUUGGUGGAAGUCUCAGCUCCACGUUCCGGCACCCCAGCUGCCUGAGCGGCCACUCAGCCCGCAAGGCCUGGCACUGGCCCAGGCCUGGGGAACUCCGUGUCCCUGGCUGAUAGGGUGGGUGGGACUUCUUGGGAAGAGCCCGGGGGAGGGGGUGGCCCAAGGCUCCGCUCCCCUGGAGAGCUGCGUGGAGCCGUGCCUGGAGGCGUGUGCAGCCAGGACUGUGUCCCGGGCUUCCAACAGCAUGGAGUAUGAGCCCACGCUCCCCCAGCCUUCCCUCCCACGCAGCAACAACCAAACCUUGAACUUGCUCCACCGCUAUCUUUGCCUGUGCUGUUCUCUUUUGCCUGCCCCGAUUUCUAGCCCUCUUAAGCCUGUCGCAGGCCCAGCUCCUGCUCGCCCCAGCCCUCCAGGGUGCCCUUGGCAUUCUGUUCUACCUGCCGCUUCGAGUUUAACAGACAUGCCCCGCCCACCUCUUCAUAUUCUCCCACCUGUCUCUGCCCUCCGAGAGCUUAGAGACCUAGGGGACAGACAGAUGAUGACACCUGCCCCAUCACCCCUGCCAAAUGAGUGA
This 1077-nucleotide long non-coding RNA is filed under the name Oryctolagus cuniculus (rabbit). RNAcentral describes it as "lncRNA (ENSOCUG00000029999.1)". The record is from RNAcentral. Lineage: Eukaryota; Metazoa; Chordata; Mammalia; Lagomorpha; Leporidae.